Molecule: ribosomal RNA, 804 nt
Filed under: Triticum aestivum (bread wheat)
Lineage: Eukaryota; Viridiplantae; Streptophyta; Magnoliopsida; Poales; Poaceae
Description: partial small subunit ribosomal RNA
Source: RNAcentral
AUGAGGACGAAAGUUGCUUUCUUUAACAGAGUGAAAUUUAGAGCAGGGAAUGGGCAAGGAACUAGAUUCUGGGAGGAUACCUGGUUAGGGGACACUCGAUUAGUGUUGCAGUAUCCAAGUUUAUAUAACAUUGCACAACGGAAAGAUGUUUCGGUUGCUUCAGUGUUACAGUCCAGUCCGCUCAAUAUUCAUUUUAGAUGGCCACUUGUAGGUCCACGUUGGGAUACAUGGUUGCAUCUCGUGCGUAGAUUAAUGGAUAUUAAUCUGUCGGAUGCCAAUGACACGAUAGUUUGGAAGUUAACGGUGUCAAGAGUCUUCACGGUUAAAACUAUGUAUAUGGAUUUAAUCAAUACCGGAGACAUCCCAAGGUCGGGCCAUAUUUGGAGGAUUAAAGUGUCGUUGAAAAUAAAAGUGUUUAUGUGGUUUGUUCAUAAAGGUGUCAUUUUAACCAAAGAUAACCUAGCCAAACGUAAUUGGGUAGGGAGUCCCCAUUGUUGCUUUUGUGAUCAAAAUGAAACAAUUGAACAUUUGUUUAUCAAAUGUCCACUUGCUAGGUUACUCUGGAGAACUAUUCAUGUGGCUUUUAAUGUCAAUCCGCCAACUUCAAUAUCACAAUUCUUUCAUAACUGGCUGAACGGGGUGAGACCUCAGACAGCAGCACAAAUCAGAGUCGGAGCAUGUGCGUUGCUUUGGGCUAUAUGGAAUUGUCGGAAUGACACAUGGCUUUUAACAGACAACACAUUACUGGUUUUUUGCAGGUCAUCUUCAGAGCGUCUACAUGGAUCCGUACGUGGUACUUGCUGA